CCUACGGGUGACAGCAGUCGAGAAUCAUUCACAAUGGGGGAAACCCUGAUGGUGCGACGCCGCGUGGGGGAAUGAAGGUCUUCGGAUUGUAAACCCCUGUCAUGUGGGAGCAAAUUAAAAAGAUAGUACCACAAGAGGAAGAGACGGCUAACUCUGUGCCAGCAGCCGCGGUAAUACAGAGGUCUCAAGCGUUGUUCGGAAUCACUGGGCGUAAAGCGUGCGUAGGCUGUUUCGUAAGUCGUGUGUGAAAGGCGCGGGCUCAACCCGCGGACGGCACAUGAUACUGCGAGACUAGAGUAAUGGAGGGGGAACCGGAAUUCUCGGGGUAGCAGUGAAAGGCGUAGAUAUCGAGAGGAACACUCGUGGCGAAGGCGGGUUCCUGGACAUUAACUGACGCUGAGGCACGAAGGCCAGGGGAGCAAAAGGGAUUAGAUACCCCGGUAGUC
RNAcentral lists this ribosomal RNA (446 nucleotides) under uncultured bacterium. Its description in RNAcentral is "partial 16S ribosomal RNA". It matches the Rfam family "Bacterial small subunit ribosomal RNA", at positions 338 to 795 of the family's 1533-position model. The record is from RNAcentral.